Long non-coding RNA from Haliotis rubra (blacklip abalone), 288 nucleotides. RefSeq lists it as uncharacterized. The record is from RefSeq and is a predicted model, not a curated record. The transcript has 3 exons. NCBI's taxonomy places the organism in Eukaryota, Metazoa, Mollusca, Gastropoda, Lepetellida, Haliotidae.
AACCUGUCCACAUGUAGGCGCCGUCCUGGGAAAUAUUGCAAUGAAGAUGAACAAGGACAUGAGAAAGGUGAAGGUGACUUGUCCAGGAACAACACACAAGUGCAAGUCCGUGAAAGUGAAGAAAACGGCCGAGAAAGUUUGAAGAAGAAACAACAUCCUCUGCCAUGUCUUCCACGUCUGCCGGAAUUUUCUUUUGCGAAUGAUGCAAGUUCUGAUACCGACUGCGAGAGUCAUGCAAGGGUCCCAAGUAACACGCAGCCUGAUGAACCAACAAGUUCUUCCACAGCG